AAGCGGAGGAAAAGAAACUAACAAGGAUUCCCCUAGUAACGGCGAGUGAAGUGGGAAAAGCUCAACUUUGAAAUCUGGCAGCUUUGCUGUCCGAGUUGUAGUCUCGAGAAGCGUCUUCCGCGCUGAUGCAUGCAUGAGUCUGUUGGAAUACAGCGCCAUAGAGGGUGAGAGCCCCGUUCUUGGCAUGCCUUUCAGUGCUUUGUGAUGCGCUUUCGAUGAGUCGAGUUGUUUGGGAAUGCAGCUCAAAUUGGGUGGUAAAUUCCAUCUAAAGCUAAAUAUUGGCGGGAGACCGAUUGCAAACAAGUACCGUGAGGGAAAGAUGAAAAGCACUUUGGAAAGAGAGUUAAAAGUACGUGAAAUUGUCGAAAGGGAAACGCUUGAAGUCGGACGUGCAGGGCAACUUGCAGGCCAACAUCAGUUUCGCCAGCCGGAUAAAAGGUAGGGGGAAGGUGGCAGUCUCGGCUGUGUUAUAGCCCCCUACUGAAUAUCGGAUGGCGGGACUGAGGACCGCAGCGC
This 516-nucleotide ribosomal RNA is filed under the name Microsporomyces pini. RNAcentral's name for it is "eukaryotic LSU rRNA". It matches the Rfam family "Eukaryotic large subunit ribosomal RNA", at positions 48 to 527 of the family's 3401-position model. The record is from RNAcentral. Lineage: Eukaryota; Fungi; Basidiomycota; Cystobasidiomycetes; Cystobasidiales; Microsporomycetaceae.